UCGUUUUUGUGUUCUACAUUUGUUCACAUUUUAACAGAAGUGUGCAGUCACGUAGCUGCCCUUUUGUUCGCCGUCGACUGCACAAGCCGCAGCCUUGCAGAAGGUGCAUCAUGUACAUCUCUUCCAUGUCAAAAGUUAACUAGAAGUCAACUAUGGUACCCCUUGAUGAGACGAACCUCAGCAAACCUGGAAAACCAAGGAAAUCAAUUCCGAAAGAGCCUGACAACACUUCUGAGCUUUAUAAUCCCGCUGAUGCGCACAUAUUUAAAAGACUGAGAGAGAUCAAUCCAGCUGCAGUUGUCCUAAGAUCUGUGCCAAAGAUGGACCCUGAUGAUACGGAUUCCGCUUCAGAAGAUGAAGAGUGCUACACAUUUUUGAGGAAUGCCGCAAAAUCUGGUUCCAGUGGCGAGACACUAAUGCACGACCUCUUCGUGCCUAUCACUGAAAUCGAAAGGAUUUAGAAGUCAACUAGGCAGCAGUCUUCAAGCCACCUGUGGAAGGAGGCAAGAUACGGAAGAAUUACAGCAUCCAUAAUGCAUAGGGCAAGUAACUUGCCACACUUAAUUCUCAGUUGACCCGAACAAUGUGGCGCAUGAAAUGUGUAAUGCAUAUAAAACUGAAGAAUGAAAAUAAUGUUUCUGUAAUUUAGGUCAAGGCACGAAAGCUAACCACAAAUCCUCUAGAGAGU
Long non-coding RNA from Ornithodoros turicata, 688 nucleotides. RefSeq lists it as uncharacterized. The record is from RefSeq and is a predicted model, not a curated record. The transcript has 3 exons. Lineage: Eukaryota; Metazoa; Arthropoda; Arachnida; Ixodida; Argasidae.